UGGGGCCAUAAUCUAAUAGGAUUGGUGGCCUUAUAAGAAGAAAAAGAGAGGGAACUCUCUCUCUGUCUCUCUGCCUCUCCCUCCCUCCCUCCAUGUACACAGACUGAGGAGAGGCCAUGUGAGGACACAGUGAGACAGUGACCAUUUGCAAGACAGGAAGAGAGCUGUCACCAGAACCUGAACCCUGCAGGAACCUUGAUCUUGGACUUUCCAGCCUCCCGAACUAUGAGUUGGCCUAAAAGAAAGGACAGUCCAGUAGCAACAAGCACACCCAGUACGAAGAUCUUGGUUUGUAAUACCAUUCUCUGCUAAAAGGAGUCGGAUUCCUCGGAGAAAGGACUGAUCGUAGGACUGCAGCAAGAAAUACCCAAGAUGAGCCUGGAGCAUCUUGUGGUGCCAGGAAGUAAGGAAGUGCUCAAAGGGAACAUCUGGAGAGGGGAAAAAAGUGGCUUUGGAAAGCUGUUCAGCUCACAGAACACUGAGGCUGAGCAAACAUUCCAGCUUUCCCUCGCUGGCCAUCACUCACACCCAAUGUAUUUAUUCUUUUUCUCUGACAAGAGAGCAACAUUUGGAAUAGCUCAAGCUGCUGAGUUAAUCAUCGAGACGCCAUGGGGAUGUUUUAAGCUGUGGGCCUACCCACCUCGUAUGAUUUGGUGUCAACACAUCCACUGGACUGAGUAAGGCAAGCACUGCAGCUUGUCCGAGGCGGAGGAAUCAGAUUUGCUACCUUCCAAUUUUCCCAUCUCUGUUUAAAGCAUCCACGCCAACGACGAUGGUCAGGAAGACCAAGAUACCUGGAACGUCAACUAGAAAAAGAAUUAAAGAGAGAAUUUCUACCUUUCCUUUCCAGGUAGCAACGAUAUUGUAAAAAUUUCUUUGACAUUCUUUAAGAAAAUCUCAAAAGCAUUUUUCUUUUCUCUUAUUUCUAUGAUGCUUUUAUCUUAAAUUUCUCCUAUUGUGGCACGGUUGUUUAAUACACUGGAAUUAAAGUAUUAGAA
RNAcentral lists this long non-coding RNA (998 nucleotides) under Equus asinus (donkey). Its description in RNAcentral is "lncRNA (ENSEASG00005031573.1)". The record is from RNAcentral. Lineage: Eukaryota; Metazoa; Chordata; Mammalia; Perissodactyla; Equidae.